Molecule: ribosomal RNA, 988 nt
Filed under: Plasmodium knowlesi
Lineage: Eukaryota; Apicomplexa; Aconoidasida; Haemosporida; Plasmodiidae
Description: SSU rRNA
Rfam family: Eukaryotic small subunit ribosomal RNA
Source: RNAcentral
ACAUAACUGAUGCCUCCGCGUAUCGACUUUGUGCGCAUUUUAGCUAUUAUGUGUUCUUUUAAUUAAAAUGAUUCUUUUUAAGAUUCAUCUAUUAAAAAUUUGCUUCGGCAUAAUUUUUUUUGAUGAUCUUGUUACUUUGAGUAAAUUAGAGUGUUCAAAGCAAACAGAUAUAGCAUUUGUGCGUUUGAAUACUACAGCAUGGAAUAACAAAAUUGAACAAGUCAGAAUUUUUUUGUUCUUUUUUCUUAUUUUGGCUUAGUUACGAUUAAUAGGAGUAGCUUGGGGGCAUUUGUAUUCAGAUGUCAGAGGUGAAAUUCUUAGAUUUUCUGGAGACAAACAACUGCGAAAGCAUUUGCCUAAAAUACUUCCAUUAAUCAAGAACGAAAGUUAAGGGAGUGAAGACGAUCAGAUACCGUCGUAAUCUUAACCAUAAACUAUGCCGACUAGGCUUUGGAUGAAAGAUUUUAAAAUAAGAGUUUUUCUUUUCUCUCCGGAGAUUAGAACUCUUAGAUUGCUUCCUUCAGUGCCUUAUGAGAAAUCAAAGUCUUUGGGUUCUGGGGCGAGUAUUCGCGCAAGCGAGAAAGUUAAAAGAAUUGACGGAAGGGCACCACCAGGCGUGGAGCUUGCGGCUUAAUUUGACUCAACACGGGAAAACUCACUAGUUUAAGACAAGAGUAGGAUUGACAGAUUAAUAGCUCUUUCUUGAUUUCUUGGAUGGUGAUGCAUGGCCGUUUUCAGUUCGUGAAUAUGAUUUGUCUGGUUAAUUCCGAUAACGAACGAGAUCUUAACCUGCUAAUUAGCGGCAAAUACGAUAUAUUCUUAUGUAGAAUUGAAUAUAGUGGAUUUGUUGGAUUUUGAAGAAAAUAUUGGAAUUACGUUUAAAUGUGAUUCCUUUCCCUUUUCUACUUAAUUUACAUUUCCAUCUAUUUCUUUUUUGCGUAUGAAUGUAUUUGCCUGAUUGUAAAGCUUCUUAGAGGAACGAUGUGUG